RNAcentral lists this ribosomal RNA (835 nucleotides) under Xenoseptoria neosaccardoi. Its description in RNAcentral is "eukaryotic LSU rRNA". It matches the Rfam family "Eukaryotic large subunit ribosomal RNA", at positions 71 to 925 of the family's 3401-position model. The record is from RNAcentral. Lineage: Eukaryota; Fungi; Ascomycota; Dothideomycetes; Pleosporales; Phaeosphaeriaceae.
GGGAUUGCCCUAGUAACGGCGAGUGAAGCGGCAACAGCUCAAAUUUGAAAUCUGGCUCUUUUAGGGUCCGAGUUGUAAUUUGCAGAGGGCGCUUUGGUGUUGGCAGCGGUCCAAGUUCCUUGGAACAGGACGUCACAGAGGGUGAGAAUCCCGUACGUGGUCGCUAGCCUUCGCCGUGUAAAGCCCCUUCGACGAGUCGAGUUGUUUGGGAAUGCAGCUCUAAAUGGGAGGUAAAUUUCUUCUAAAGCUAAAUACUGGCCAGAGACCGAUAGCGCACAAGUAGAGUGAUCGAAAGAUGAAAAGCACUUUGGAAAGAGAGUCAAAUAGCACGUGAAAUUGUUGAAAGGGAAGCGCUUGCAGCCAGACUUGCCUGUAGUUGCUUAUCCGGACUCUUGUCCGGUGCACUCUUCUGCGGGCAGGCCAGCAUCAGUUUGGGCGGUUGGAUAAAGGUCUCUAUCACGUACCUCUCUUCGGGGAGGCCUUAUAGGGGAGGCGACAUGCAACCAGCCUGGACUGAGGUCCGCGCAUCUGCUAGGAUGCUGGCGUAAUGGCUGUAAGCGGCCCGUCUUGAAACACGGACCAAGGAGUCUAACAUCUAUGCGAGUGUUUGGGUGUCAAGCCCAGACGCGUAAUGAAAGUGAACGGAGGUGGGAACCCUUUGGGUGCACCAUCGACCGAUCCUGAUGUCUUCGGAUGGAUUUGAGUAAGAGCAUGGCUGUUGGGACCCGAAAGAUGGUGAACUAUGCUUGAAUAGGGUGAAGCCAGAGGAAACUCUGGUGGAGGCUCGCAGCGGUUCUGACGUGCAAAUCGAUCGUCAAAUUUGGGCAUAGGGGCG